CGCCCCGCCCCGGCCGGCGGGAGCGGGGCCGGGAAUUGUCGGGGCUCGGGAGACCGCCCGGUGCAAACCCUGCCAGGGCACGGAAACCUGCUCGGGGAUUUGGACUUCGUGGCCGCUGCGCACCACUGAAAAGUCUGGCACCGUCCUCAUGGUGGAAAUUCCAUUACUUCUCUUUUCCUUCAUAUGCACCUCAGAAAGCCAGAAGAGAGCAGCACAGAGACAACAGAUGAAACAACUGCUUCUCCAGAAAACGUGAAAAACAUCAAUCCUGCUCUGGGAAAGACUGUGAACACCCUUAUAAACAGGAAAGUGAUAUGAAGCAACUUGAGAGAGAUUAAAGAAUGUCUGGAAAACAACAGUACAAGUUCCAACUUGGAAAAAUGCAAACUUGAGAAGAACAACUUGAAACUCAAAUAUGCAGCAGGAAUAAAUUGUGUUGAGGAGAUCUAGGAAUGAUAGCAGCUAGCUGAUUGGAAAUGGUAUUUCUUAAGCUGCAGAAGUGGGCAAUGUGUGGGAAGGCACCCUCUUACAUAUGGGAAGGCAGAGCAUGUGGAAUAUUGCUCUGAGUCCCGUGUAUUGCACUUCUAGUCAGAGGCAUGCUGGAGGGCAUUCAAGAACAGCAACCAAAAAAACAGGAGAGACAUUGUCUCUGAAUAUGCCAUUCCUAAAUUUUUCUUCAUGAAGUAGUCAGAAGAUGACAAAGAGGGACUGUCACCAGUGUUAGAAAAAAUUAAAUUAUAACCAUAUUUACUUAAGAAUGUAUGCAGGGGGAUAAUCAGGAGUACUGGGAGUGUUCCUGUAAAAGCAACAUUGAACUGAAUCUCAGAAAUGUCCUCGAUGGAGAGAUGUGCAAUGCCUUGCAAGGAAGUGAUGGAAACUUCAUUCCUUGGGGACAUCUAACACUUGACCACACAAAGCACUAGGAAGUCUAUUAGGGGAAAUGACUGCAUUGGAUGGUGGGGGAAGUUUGAUACAAAAGAUCACUUUCAAUUUAUCUGAAUAUAUGAUAUAAAUGGGAAAAUAUGUACCAGGAUGUUUGUGAUUUCCACAUUCAACAGGCUUAAGCUGCUUUUCAUUUAUAGUAAUGAGAGACCAAUUUAUUCCCAAAAGGUUCCUCUUUUUCCCACUCUACCAACUGUACCUUUCCUAAUUUGUGCUGUGAAGCAAUAACCUUAGAGCACAGAGGACUGGUGGGCUUUUUCUCAGAAUAAGCAAUGAAUAAGCAAUAGUUUUAUCAGAAAAUCUCAUUUUCUGGAUGGGUGAUGCCAAAACAUAGGGCAGAAGGUGGUUAUGUUGACUUACUGGGUAUCACCUCAGUAUGAUGUUCCUUCACUGCAAAGCAUCUUGGUGUUCUCCAUGGAGUCACCUGGCUUUUAUCAGCUCCCACAUGGGUCAAGAGCCACUUGUGUUUGCCAUUAUAAUUGGCCACCAGGAUGAGUUGCCCGGGUUGUUUGAUUGGAAUGCUUAAAAGCCAUGCUAUGCCUACAAAAAGACAAACAGAAAGUUAUACAGGCAACAAAAAAGAGUUCACAGCCACGAUUUUUGGCAAAGCACACCCCUCCCAUCUGUGGAGGCGCCUCCCCAUCCCACCGGGCUCACAGCAAAUGUCACAUCCCUGUUGGCUCUGAGGGCUUUCAGUGUUGCUGAGGCAUUGGGAGAGCAGGUGGGCAAGCCGUAGCUUCAGAGCAAUAGGAGCUAACCAGGGAGAGGGGAAAAAGAUGGAAAUGUGCAUCUGGCUGUACUGCAAACCCAGCCUCCAGCAGCUGCUCCAGAGGUGCCCCUCUGCUGCAGCACUGGGUCAGCCCUGUGCUCAUUAGCCUUGACAGCUGCCCUUCUAUAAUCUAAAGCUGUGCUUGGGAGAUAAGGGCUUUGUGUACUGCUUACAAACAGCGAGGCUGGAGUGAAAAUUCACAGGGCUGGAAGGCAGGGAGUCUCUUUUCAGCUACAUUGAGAAAGCCAUAGAAAGGGUGAGGGCUCCUUCUCUCUGCAGAUUCAAAGCAGCUUCUCCUCCAGUCUCUCACAGGGCACUUGUUUGUGCUUCGUGUUCUGCCCCCGCCUACACAAAUCUUGCACUGAAAGGUUUUUCUUGCUCUGUUCUGGAGUCACUUUGGAUGCAUUGAACUCUCCCAAGUGCUUUGUACUUCUGACAAAGCAAGGUGCUUGUAUAACAUUGCUGAGGGGGAGAGAAAAUAGCAGGAUUGGAGGAAAAACACUUACCUUGAGAAACUUUUAAGAAUCUAGUUUUAUUUUGUGUCUCAGAUCAAAGGCUGAUUUACUCUUGAAAUGUCCACAGUUCCUUGGUAUUUGUCUUCUUGCGCCUCUUCGACUCUUAACUGGUUUGGAAAAUUCCCAUGUUUAUUCACUGUGAGUCCUGAGAGCCCUCCCACCACCAUUCUUGCCCUGCAUAUUAUCAGAUCUCAGGGAAAAGCUGGACCUAGCAAGUUCUUUCUCAUUAAAAGAAAAAGGAAAAUCUAACACUUCUAUGUGGGUGAAAUGAAUAGAGCUGCAGUGAUUCACAGUAAAGGACAGGUAAGAGUUUGGUAAGAGAAUAUUGUCUAAUAUAGGUAUGGGAUUUGUCUAACGUAGUUUAAUAGGUAUGGGUAAAAGAAUAUUGUCUAAUAGCCUUGGAAGUCAUCUAAAGAUAUAGCAGUAAGAAUGGAGACAUCAGCUACAGAAGGGUGCACAGCCUUUGAGCUGCCUACUCUCCUGUCUGCCAGCUUUUGUGUUCUCUCACACUAAUAUUCCUUUUCACUCACCCACCUGCCUUGUGGUUUUCAGUGGGCUUCUCGAGGCAAACGAGGUCAAA
Molecule: non-coding RNA, 2806 nt
Organism: Taeniopygia guttata (zebra finch)
Lineage: Eukaryota; Metazoa; Chordata; Aves; Passeriformes; Estrildidae
Source: RefSeq, a predicted model, not a curated record